Molecule: ribosomal RNA, 409 nt
Filed under: bacterium enrichment culture clone ALO1_GLFRUDD03F32BU
Lineage: Bacteria
Description: bacterial SSU rRNA
Rfam family: Bacterial small subunit ribosomal RNA
Source: RNAcentral
GAGUUUGAUCCUGGCUCGGAUUGAACACUGGCGGCAUGCCUUACACAUGCAAGUCGAACGGCAGCACGGGAGCUUGCUCCUGGUGGCGAGUGGCGAACGGGUGAGUAAUGCAUCGGAACGUAUCCUGGAGUGGGGGAUAACGUAGCGAAAGUUACGCUAAUACCGCAUAUUCUGUGAGCAGGGAAAGCGGGGGACCUUCGGGCCUCGCGCUCUUGGAGCGGCCGAUGUCGGAUUAGCUAGUUGGUGAGGUAAAGGCUCACCAAGGCGACGAUCCGUAGCAGGUCUGAGAGGAUGAUCUGCCACACUGGAACUGAGACACGGGUCCAGACUCCUACGGGAGGCAGCAGUGGGGAAUUUUGGACAAUGGGGGCAACCCUGAUCCAGCCAUGCCGCGUGAGUGAAGAAGGCC